GUUUUUUUCCCCUGGCUUUGUUAUUUGUCUUUUUCUUAUUGAAAUCCUAGGACCUUAAAUAUAUUUUUGGAAGAUAUGUUGACUUUUCAUCAGAAACACAGCGGAUCAUGUUUGAUAUACGUUUGAUGAAAGAAGGUCGUAUGAAAGGACAAGCUUUCAUUGGACUUCCUAAUGAAAAAGCAGCAGCAAAAGCCUUAAAGGAAGCUAAUGGAUAUGUGCUUUUUGGAAAACCCAUGGUGGUUGUAUCCUUUAAAUCCAUCUAUUUCAAAACUAUAUAAUUUUUAGAAGGAUAUAACUGAAAUUAAUUUUCAUGUUACCCUUUAGAAAUUUCCACAGUUGGCAUUCUAGCAGUAGAUAUUCAUUCGUUACAAUUAAACCCACCUUACUGAGUCAGAUGACAGUGUUAUUUAGAUUUUUAAUAAAAGAGCUUCA
RNAcentral lists this small RNA (432 nucleotides) under Pan troglodytes (chimpanzee). RNAcentral describes it as "retained intron". The record is from RNAcentral. Lineage: Eukaryota; Metazoa; Chordata; Mammalia; Primates; Hominidae.